UACGUAGGGUGCAAGCGUUGUCCGGAAUUAUUGGGCGUAAAGGGCUCGUAGGCGGUCCAUCACGUCGGGAGUGAAAAGCUGGGGCUUAACCCCAGUCCUGCUUCCGAUACGGGUGGACUAGAGGUAGGUAGGGGAGAACGGAAUUCCUGGUGUAGCGGUGAAAUGCGCAGAUAUCAGGAGGAACACCGGUGGCGAAGGCGGUUCUCUGGGCCUUACCUGACGCUGAGGAGCGAAGGCGUGGGGAGCAAACAGG
This 253-nucleotide ribosomal RNA is filed under the name uncultured bacterium. Its description in RNAcentral is "partial 16S ribosomal RNA". It matches the Rfam family "Bacterial small subunit ribosomal RNA", at positions 524 to 776 of the family's 1533-position model. The record is from RNAcentral.